RNAcentral lists this ribosomal RNA (255 nucleotides) under uncultured bacterium. RNAcentral's name for it is "partial 16S ribosomal RNA". It matches the Rfam family "Bacterial small subunit ribosomal RNA", at positions 524 to 776 of the family's 1533-position model. The record is from RNAcentral.
UACAGAGGGGGCAAGCGUUGUUCGGAAUUACUGGGCGUAAAGGGCGCGUAGGCGGCCUGCUAAGUCGAACGUGAAAUCCCUGGGCUCAACCCAGGAACUGCGUCCGAUACUGGUUGGCUUGAAUCCGGGAGAGGGAUGUGGAAUUCCAGGUGUAGCGGUGAAAUGCGUAGAUAUCUGGAGGAACACCGGUGGCGAAGGCGGCCUGCUGGGCAGUUUAGCUGACACUGAGGCGCGACAGCGUGGGGAGCAAACAGG